Molecule: ribosomal RNA, 691 nt
Filed under: uncultured bacterium
Lineage: Bacteria
Description: bacterial SSU rRNA
Rfam family: Bacterial small subunit ribosomal RNA
Source: RNAcentral
ACACAUGCAGUCGUGCGAAGCUAUUUUGAGGGGCAACCCUUAGAGUAGACUGAGCGGCGGACGAGUGAGUAACACGUGGGUAACCUACCUCCAGGACUGGGAUAACCCCGGGAAACUGGGGCUAAUACUGGAUAAGACCACGGCAUCUAUGGAUGCAGGGGUAAAAGGUGGCCUCUGGUGAUAAGCCAAGCUACCACUUGGAGAUGGGCCCGCGUCCCAUCAGGUAGUUGGUGAGGUAACGGCUCACCAAGCCUAAGACGGGUAGCUGGCCUUAGCGGGUGACCAGCCACACGGGGACUGAGAUACGGCUCCGACUCCUACGGGAGGCAGCAGUGAGGAAUAUUGGGCAAUGGGCGAAAGCUUGACCCAGCGACGCCGCGUGGGGGAAGAAGGCCUUCGGAUUGUAAACCCCUGUUGGGAGGGACGAUGGGUCUGUGGGCUAAUACCUCACAGGCUUGACGGUACCUUCAGAGGAAGCCCCGGCAAACUCCGUGCCAGCAGCCGCGGUAAUACGGAGGGGGCAAGCGUUGCUCGGAUUUACUGGGCGUAAAGGGUCCGUAGGCGGUUUCAUAAGUCGAACGUGAAAGCCUGGGGCUUAACCCUGGAAUUGCGUUUGAAACUGUGGGACUAGAGUCCGGAAGAGGUCGGUGGAAUUCCCGGUGUAGCGGUGAAAUGCGUAGAUAUCGGGAGG